AACAAACGCUGGCGGCGUGCCUAAUACAUGCAAGUCGAACGGGGAAAGUUCUUCGGAAUGAGUACUAGUGGCGUACGGGUGAGCAACACGUGGAUAAUCUUCCUUCAGGUGGGGAAUAACGAGUCGAAAGAUUCGCUAAUACCGCAUAAGACCACAGUAACUUUGGUUACAGGGGUUAAAGACUUCGGUCGCCUUUAGAUGAGUCUGCGUCCGAUUAGCUAGUUGGUGAGGUAAUGGCUCACCAAGGCGACGAUCGGUAACUGGUCUGAGAGGACGGCCAGUCACACUGGGACUGAGACACGGCCCAGACUCCUACGGGAGGCAGCAGUAGGGAAUUUUGCACAAUGGAGGAAACUCUGAUGCAGCGACGCCGCGUGAGUGAUGAAGGCCUUCGGGUCGUAAAGCUCUGUUCUCAGGGAAUAAAAAAUGAAGGUACCUGAGGAGAAGGACCGGCUAACUUCGUGCCAGCAGCCGCGGUAAU
This 481-nucleotide ribosomal RNA is filed under the name uncultured bacterium. Its description in RNAcentral is "bacterial SSU rRNA". It matches the Rfam family "Bacterial small subunit ribosomal RNA", at positions 29 to 524 of the family's 1533-position model. The record is from RNAcentral.